Oncorhynchus tshawytscha (Chinook salmon) is the source of this 368-nucleotide long non-coding RNA. The record is from Ensembl. Lineage: Eukaryota; Metazoa; Chordata; Actinopteri; Salmoniformes; Salmonidae.
GUAUAAUUCAAGCCUGCUGGUAUAAUUCAAGCCUGCUGGUAUAAUUCAUGCCUUGUGGUAUAUUUCAAGCCUUCCUGUCUACGUCUCUAUAUUUCAAGCGUGGUGGUAUAAUUCAUGCCUGGUGGUAUAAUUCAAGCCUCGUGGUAUAUUUCAAGCCUGCAGGUAUAUUUCAAGCCUGGUGGUAUAAUUCAAGCCUGCAGGUAUAUUUCAAGCCUGGUGGUAUAAUUCAAGCCUGCAGGUAUAUUUCAAGCCUGGUGGUAUAAUUCAAGCCUGCAGGUAUAUUUCAAGCCUGGUGGUAUAAUUCAAGCCUGCAGGUAUAUUUCAAGCCUGGUGGUAUAAUUCAAGCCUGCAGGUAUAUUUCAAGCCUG